AUGGGAUCGAUUUUUUACCUGAAAAGUAGCUCAGCAAUGCUGGUAAUGAUGUCGCUCUCUGCUUCUUCUACUUCUGGUUCUCUUCGUCUUCUUUUAUCUUCCUCUUUGAAUCCUGAGUGUUCUUGUGUUGUUGGUUCGUGUUGCGUCAUGGCGCUGCUGUUGCGUAUUGCUUCGGUUGUGAGCUGA
Non-coding RNA from Vicia faba (fava bean), 186 nucleotides. Lineage: Eukaryota; Viridiplantae; Streptophyta; Magnoliopsida; Fabales; Fabaceae. The record is from the annotation of a GenBank genome assembly.